This 116-nucleotide small nucleolar RNA is filed under the name Cavia porcellus (domestic guinea pig). RNAcentral describes it as "Small nucleolar RNA SNORA51". It matches the Rfam family "Small nucleolar RNA SNORA51". From Rfam's summary of the family: ACA51 is a member of the H/ACA class of snoRNA that guide the sites of modification of uridines to pseudouridines. The record is from Rfam by way of RNAcentral. Lineage: Eukaryota; Metazoa; Chordata; Mammalia; Rodentia; Caviidae.
UGCCUCUUGGUGCUUACCACAGGCAGUGUUCUUACACUGACUAUAUAGAAAAAGGAGGUACCACCCCCCCACUGCUAAAUUUGACUGGCUUAAAAAAAAAAAAAAAAAAGAAAAAG